Molecule: ribosomal RNA, 895 nt
Filed under: uncultured bacterium
Lineage: Bacteria
Description: bacterial SSU rRNA
Rfam family: Bacterial small subunit ribosomal RNA
Source: RNAcentral
GUUUGAUCCUGGCUCAGAAUCAACGCUGGCGGCGUGCCUCAGACAUGCAAGUCGAACGAUUAAGACUUCCUUCGGGAAGUGCAUAAAGUGGCGCACGGGUGAGUAACACGUAAGUAAUCUACCCUCGAGUGGGGAAUAACGUUCGGAAACGAACGCUAAUACCGCAUAACGCAGCGGCACCGCAAGGUGACAGUUGUUAAAGGAGUAAUUCGCUUGAGGAGGAGCUUGCGGCAGAUUAGCUAGUUGGUAAGGUAACGGCUUACCAAGGCUACGAUCUGUAUCCGGUCUAAGAGGACGGUCGGACACACUGACACUGAAUAACGGGUCAGACUCCUACGGGAGGCAGCAGUCGGGAAUUUUGGGCAAUGGGCGAAAGCCUGACCCAGCAACGCCGCGUGAAGGAUGAAGUAUUUCGGUAUGUAAACUUCGAAAGAAUGGGAAGAAUAAAUGACGGUACCAUUUAUAAGCUCCGGCUAACUACGUGCCAGCAGCCGCGGUAAUACGUAGGGAGCAAGCGUUGUUCGGAUUUACUGGGCGUAAAGGGCGCGUAGGCGGCGCGGUAAGUCACUUGUGAAAUCUCUGAGCUUAACUCAGAACGGCCAAGUGAUACUGCAGUGCUAGAGUGCAGAAGGGGCAAUCGGAAUUCUUGGUGUAGCGGUGAAAUGCGUAGAUAUCAAGAGGAACACCUGAGGUGAAGACGGGUUGCUGGGCUGACACUGACGCUGAGGCGCGAAAGCCAGGGGAGCAAACGGGAUUAGAUACCCCGGUAGUCCUGGCCCUAAACGAUGAAUACUUGGUGUCUGGAGUUUCAAGACUCCGGGUGCCGUCGCUAACGUUUUAAGUAUUCCGCCUGGGGAGUACGCUCGCAAGAGUGAAACUCAAAUGAAUUGACGGA